UCCACCAUACAGUCUAAUCAACUAAGCAAAGAAUUGACACCGAUUAGGCGACUAAGUGUAUACCUAAUCGCAGGCAGACAACAGAUUAAAUAUUGAGCAGAAUCAAAGCAGCAGUAUGACAAUUAAAGUGUAAGAAUCUCAUGGAAACAAAGUAAUUUUAUUAACGACCAACCAACUAACCUAAGCUAACAUCACAAUUAAAUCAACACAAUUGAACAGAACAGACAACAUAAAAAAAAUAAAAAAUAAAAGCAAAUAUUUUAGUGACAAAAAUAUCUAAACAUAAUUAAAUGCAACACUUAAAUUAAAAUACUAAAUAAAUAAUGAAGCUAAAAUAAGAAGCAAUGGUUAAAAUGUCGUGCAACAAUUAAGCUACUAAAGAAGAGGCAUAAUGCAACUAAAAAAAAACAUUUAAACUAAAAAGUAAAAGCUAUUUACAAUUCAAUAUGGAAAUUGUAAAUUUAAAUUAACACCGUGCUUAACAUGAAAAUAAAAAUGGAAAUGCAAUGUUUUUUCUCAUUUAAAAGAAAAGAAAUGCCACCAAGCUGCUUCCUCAAAAAGAAUUCACGUUGGAAUGAAAUUAAAUGCACCGUACACCUACUUUGAAUAUAAAAUGAAAAUUAAAGAAAACAAUGUUCUAGCAUGCUAUUCCCAAAGCAAAUGAAAUUGUUCUUGUAAAAUGAAGUCAACCAAUUUCUAGCAACAGUAACAUGUUGGGAGAAAUAAAAGUGUGCCCACAAAACCAUCACAUCACUAGACUUCCAUCUAAUCUAUUUUUCAUUCCAAUAAAAAAAAGGAAAUGCUACUUCCCUACAUUUAGGACUGGACAAAAAUAACUGAUCUGUACUGUACUGCAGUUAACUGUACUAUAUUGUACUAAAAAUAACUAAUCCAUUUCUAGUAACAGUUCAGUGUACUAUCUUAUGGUUCAGUUUUUAAAAACUGAACUGAUAACAGUUACAGUUCAGUUAACUGUGAGAACUGUAUCUACUCUUACAGUUCAAUUGUUUAAUCUUGUCAAGAAAACUUUAUUUAAUAAUAAAAUAUUAAUAAAAAUAACUGUUCACAAAAAAAAAUAUUAAUUAAUUUUUUAAAACAACUUUUUUAUCACAAAAUUUAUAUUUUUAUCAAUAAAAAUAAAAAAUGUAAUUUAUAUUUUUNNNNNNNNNNNNNNNNNNNNNNNNNNNNNNNNNNNNNNNNNNNNNNNNNNNNNNNNNNNNNNNNNNNNNNNNNNNNNNNNNNNNNNNNNNNNNNNNNNNNNNNNNNNNNNNNNNNNNNNNNNNNNNNNNNNNNNNNNNNNNNNNNNNNNNNNNNNNNNNNNNNNNNNNNNNNNNNNNNNNNNNNNNNNNNNNNNNNNNNNNNNNNNNNNNNNNNNNNNNNNNNNNNNNNNNNNNNNNNNNNNNNNNNNNNNNNNNNNNNNNNNNNNNNNNNNNNNNNNNNNNNNNNNNNNNNNNNNNNNNNNNNNNNNNNNNNNNNNNNNNNNNNNNNNNNNNNNNNNNNNNNNNNNNNNNNNNNNNNNNNNNNNNNNNNNNNNNNNNNNNNNNNNNNNNNNNNNNNNNNNNNNNNNNNNNNNNNNNNNNUUAAUAGUUCAGUUCAGUUCAUACUGCAGUACAGUACAGUUUAGUACGGUUCAGUUUGAUAAAACAAAAAAUAGUUCAGUUCAGUUUGUCUGAAUAGUUUUACAGUUCAGUUCAGUUUGUCUGAACUGUAACAGUUCAGUUCAGUUUUUAGCAAUGCAUUACAGUUCAGUUCGAUUUGCCCACCCCUACCUACAUUAGCCGUAACAUCACUCAUUCUUCCAUCUAAUCUCUUCGUGCAAUGCAAAUCAAGAGAAAACUAGAACCAUAUUUCAGCAUCUCUUUCCAAAAGAAAAUGUUGCUGCAAAUAAAAAUAAAAGCAAGCCAAAUAUGAAGAUUGAAUCUCCAUUAGACGUGACAGCUCAUACAAAAUGAAAAGCACCAUAGCAUUCAAGAUAAGCUCAAAAGGAAGAGAAAAAAAAACGUUCCAGCUUUGUAAAAAAAAAUAAAAACGAAAGAGAGAACAAAUUCUUUCUUUUUUCAACCCAUCAAGACUCAACCGUGAGCUACAUUUGUUCUCCAAAAUAAAAUUGUUCCCAAGCAAAAGUCCAAAAUGUGGUGUCCGCUGCACACUAUCUCCAAUUGCCGAGAGAAUGUAUGAUAUCCCAAAAAGUGACGGCUGGACAUUACUAAGAGGCCAAGUGUUGCCUCUAAAAUGGGUGGGGUCCACCCUAAAAUAAAAGGAAACCCUAGGGUUUGGUGCCAAGUGUCCCUCAAAAUUUGGGCCUAUCAUGAAAUUUGCCAACAUUGGCCCACAAUGUAAAAGUUUGUCUAAAAUGUUUAAAAUUUUAAAUUACAAGAUAACUAAAAUUUAAAAUGUCUAAAUUAGAGAGUCUUGAAUUUAUUUAGUGUCCUCCAAAUGUCCCAAAUUGUGUUUCCAAAAUUUUCCCUGAAAAUAAUAAUGCGAAUAAUUAGCUCAGAAAAUUCAAUUAAUUAAAAUUAGAAUUUCAGGUCAAAUUAAGCAUAAUUAGGAAAAACGGGAAAAUACCGGACAAUUAAGCACAAUUCCUUGAUUAAUUCUAGCACAAUAAACUAAGUGAAAUCAAUAAAAUAUCGACUCAUCACUCACCUUAUAAGCCGGUUUUGUGGGGUGAGUUAGGCUUAAAAAACUCACUUUCUAAUAUGGUAUCAAAGCUUAGGUUUCGUUCCAGCCUCUUCCAAGGCCUCCGGUACUCAUUACCGUCGUAGCCACCGCAGUUGUCGUCGCCGUCGUCGUCGUCGCCACCGUCGCCGCCAUCGCCGCUGUCGUCGCCGGAGUUCCAGAAUCGAUCGACGACCACUCCAUCCGAAGCGCCUCGGCCGGGCGACCACCGUGGGCCAAAGAUCGCGGCGAUCGGAGCUCCCACGCGCCACAGCAAAAGUCGUAGCACCGCCGCUUCCCGCCGCGCGUGUCGACACGUCGCCAGAGCUUUCCGCCGUCAGCCAGCACCGCCGUGAUCGCCUCCUCGCCCUCUUUCCAUAUCUGUGGUCGUUGCGUCAAUCGGAGCACCUUGGAUUUUUAGGGUUUCUCUCUCUCCAUGGUGUCUUCCGCGUCUACAAACACCUCUUGUAGUGUCUCAUCUGCUUAUGCUGGUGCCUCAUCUGAUUCCCCAAUAUACACCAAUUAUAUGAAUGUACACUGGUCCAUUGACAAGUUAGAUGGCACGAAUUAUGCAACAUGGGCAUUCGACAUCAAACUUUGGUUGAAGAGUUAAGGGUAUGUAGAUCACCUUACUAAAAAUGUGAUUAAUGCUACCACAGAUGAAAAUUCCCGCUGGAUGAAAAUUGAUGUCCAGUUAUGCAUUGUCAUAAAGUCCAUCAUUCACUCUUCUCUGAAACAAAUGUUUCGAUCAUAUGAAACAUGUUCAGAAGUAUGGGCACAAGCGAAGUUAUUAUACACGAAUGACACCUAGCGCCUUUAUGGUGUUUGUCAGGAUCUAUUCACUAUUAUUGGUCUGUGCAAUCCUGGUCCCAUGGCAGAAUAUUUGGGUAAAAUUCAUGCCCUCCUUCAUGAUUUUAAUGAGUUAUUACCUCCUGCUUCCACUCCUGCUGAAGAAUUGGAACAACGAGCAAAGUUCUUCAUGUUGUUGGCAUUAUACAUACUCUCUGAUGAUUCCUCCCAUGUCCUUGAUCAGAUUUUAGGUUCUCCUAUCAUACCCAACUUUACUUCUACUUGUUAUGCUCUUUUGCGUAUUCCGACCAAACUAGUCUUUGAGACAUCUCCUCAUAUUGAUGAUUCCUCUGUUAUAGCUGCCCAACGUGAUGAUAAAAGUCGGUCUUGCAAGCCAGGUAAAGGACGACCAAAAUGUGACCACUAUGGCAAGCUAGGGCACAAAAUUGAUAGAUGUUAUGCGCUUCAUGGACGUCCUCCUCGAUCUACAGCAAUGGCUAAUUCUGAUCUACCUCCUCGGCCUACAAAUCAUCAUACUUCAUCAAAUACUGUAGAUAACCUUGCAAUCUUCAACGAAUUUCUCAAAUGGUAUGAGGAUCGUCAGCAAUCUAGUUCCACUACAUCUGCAUCUGUUGCACGCACAGGUACACCUUUUCUUGGUCUGGCUCACUCCCUCAGAUCUUGGGUCCUUGACUCAAGCGCCACCGAUCAUAUAACUGGUAACAAGUCCUUGUUUUCUUCGUUGUCAUGUCCGGAUAAUUUACCCUCGGUCAUAAUGGCUGAUGGGUCUAGAGUCUCAUCUCAUGGUAUUGAUACUAUUCAUAUUUUUCCGUCCAUAUCCAUUAAUCAUGUACUUUAUGUCCCUAGGUCUCCCUUCAACUUAUUAUCCAUAAGUCGUCUAACUCGUUCCCUUAAUUGUGUUAUUUCAUUUACCAAAGAUUCUGUUUGUUUGCAGGACCAGAGUUCGAAACACAUGAUUGACACAAGAUAUGAGUCUCAUGUCCUAUAUCUUCUCUGCCCUUCUCCAGAUGUUGGCGUCAUCAUGGAGUCACCAUCCCUUCUUCAUGCUCAGUUAGGUCAUCCUAGUCUUGCCAAACUGCAGCACCUUGUUCCGAGUUUGUCGAAGUUAUCAAGUUUGACGUGUGAGUCUUGUCAGUUAGGAAAACAUACUGGUAGUUGCUUUCCUCGUAGUGUUUCACAACGAGCGUUGUCCCCUUUUUCAUUAGUUCAUUCUGAUAUUUGGGGACCUAGUCGUGUUAAGUCAACUUUAGGAUUUUAGUAUUUUGUUACGUUUAUUGAUGACUAUUCCAGAUGUACUUGGUUGUUUUUAAUGAAAAAUCAUUCUGAGUUGUUUUCUAUUUUCCAAUCUUUUUCCAAUGAAAUAAAAACACAGUUUGGGGUUUCUAUUCGAACUUUACGCAGUGAUAAUGGUCGUGAAUACCUUUCUCAACCGUUUAAACAUUUUAUGGCUUCUCAUGGCAUUCUUCACCAGACCUCAUGUGCUUAUACUCCUCAACAAAAUGGGGUGGCUGAGCGCAAGAAUAAACACCUUAUUGAAACAACUCGUACACUUUUAAUCCAUGGCCAAGUACCCUGGCGUUUUUGGGGUGAUGCAGUUCUCACUGCAUGUUAUCUCAUAAACCACAUGACGUCUUUUGUCCUAGAUAACAAAAUCCCUCAUUCUGUCUUAUUUCCUCAAGACCCUUUACAUCCAUUACCUCUUAGAGUCUUUGGGUCUACAUGUUUUGUUCAUGAUUUUAGUCCCGAUCUUGAUAAGUUAUCUCCUAGAUCUCACAAAUGUGUCUUCUUAGGAUUUCCACGGUCACAAAAGGGCUAUAAGUAUUUUUUCCCUUUCUUCAAUCGUCAUUUUAUCUCCGCUGAUGUCACCUUUGAUGAAUCUUCAUUUUAUUUUUCACAUCUAUCUUCUAGUUCUGUACCUCUACCUACUAUUGUUGAUAUUCCUAUUGUCUGUGAUCCUUUAGACUCUCAUUCCCCAUAGGUUUAUAGUCGCCGCAAUCGUCCUUCAACUUCACCCCUUCAGGUUUAUAGUUGCCGCAAUCGUCUCCCUCAUGACUCACCUCCUGUGUCGCCUCCUGUGUCUCCUCCGGCUCUAGCAAAUGAGUUUGACCUACCUAUUGCCCUCCGUAAAGGUAUACGCUCUACUCGUAACCCUUCCCCCCAUUAUCUGUUCUUAGUUACCAUGAAUUAUCUCCAUCUUUUUACACAUGUCUCUCAUCCAUUUCUUCUGUGUCAAUUCCCAAGUCUGUGGGUGAUGCCUUAACUCAUCCUGGUUGGCGUCAAGCCAUGCUAGAUGAAUUAAGUGCUUUACAGAAAAGUGGAACUUGGGAGAUUGUCCAAUUACCAUCUGGAAAGUUUGUUGUUGGUUGUAGGUGGGUGCAUGCUAUCAAAGUUGGCCUUGAUGGUAUAAUUGAUCGUUUAAAGGCUCAACUGGUUGCCAAAGGCUACACAUAAACUUUUGGUUUGGAUUAUGGUGAUACUUUUUCUCUAGUGACGAAAAUGACCUCAGUUCGCCUAUUCAUUGCCAUGGCCGCUCUUCGACAAUGACCUCUUUACAAACUUGAUGUCAAAAAUGCUUUCCUUAAUGGUGAUUUUCAUGAAGAAAUUUAUAUGGAGCAACCGCCCGGCUUUGUUGCUCUGGGGAGUCUUCUGGAUUGGUAUGUCGUCUUCGCAAAUCCUUAUAUGGCCUAAAACAGUCUCCUCGGGCCUGGUUUGGUAAAUUAAAUAGUGUUGUUCAAAAAUUUGGUAUGUCUCGCAGUGAAGCGGAUCAUUCAGUGUUCUAUUGCCACUCAAGUGUUGGAUGUAUCUACUUUAUAGUGUAUGUUGAUGACAUUGUUCUCACAGGAAGUGGCUAUCUUGGCAUCUCUCAGAUCAAACAACACCUUUGUCACCAUUUUCAAACCAAAGAUCUUGGCAAACUCUGGUACUUUUUGGGCAUUGAAGUAGCACAAUCCAAUGAUGGUAUUAUCAUAUCUCAGAGGAAGUAUGCAUUAGAUAUCUUGGAGGAAACAGGGUUAAUGAAUUGUAAAUCUAUUGAGACACCUACGGAUCCUAACAUCAAACUCCUACCAAAUCAAGGGGAGCCUUUCUUAGAUCCUGAACGGUACAGAAGAUUAGUUGGUAAAUUAAACUAUCUACAAGUCCUGACAUUUCCUUCGCAGUUAGUGUGGUGAGUCAAUUUCUAAACUCCCCAUGUAAAGAUCAUUGGGAUGCAGUUGUUCGCAUACUGAAGUAUAUUAAAGGAUCACCUGGAAAAGGUUUGCUAUACGGUCCUAACAACGAUACAAAGAUCGUUUGUUAUUCAGAUGCUGAUUGGGCCGGUUCCCCUACUGAUAGGAGGUCUACUUCUGGAUAUUGUGUCUUUAUUGGUGGCAACCUGAUAUCUUGGAAAAGUAAGAAGCAAAGUGUUGUGGUUAGGUCCAGCGCAGAAGCAGAAUAUAGAGCUAUGGCAUCAGCUACUUGUGAGCUUGUGUGGCUUAAACAAUUACUUAGUGAAUUGAAAUUUGGAGAUAUCACUCACAUGACACUUAUAUGUGAUAAUCAAGAUGCUCUUAAUAUUAGCUCUAAUCCUGUCUUCCAUGAGAAAACCAAGCACAUUGAAGUUGAUUGCCAUUUUAUUAGAGAAAAAUUCAUAUCCGGAGAUAUCAAGACUGAGUUCGUUAACUCAAGCAACCAGUUGGCAGACAUAUUCACUAAGUCCUUGCAAGGACCUAGAAUUGACUAUCUUUGUAACAAGCUUGGAACAUAUGAUUUAUAUGCUCCAGCUUGAGGGGGAGUGUUAGAUAUUAUAUGUUUAUUAGGGAAAUAUAAUCUCUAUGCUUAUUAUUUUAUUUUCACAUAUUCAUUUGUAUUUGCGCUUAGCCCACAUUCUUAUUAUUAUAAAUACAUUAUCCUGUGUGUAUGCAAAGACACAUAAGGGAGAUUUCACCUCAUCUCUUUCACUAUUUCAUACUAAGUAACUUGAUUACUACUCUCUACAACCAAAAUUUUGUUUCAAACAAUGGAAUAUCCUCAUCACACAAAUAACACAGUAUACAACUGCAAAUACAUCCUCAUACCAUUUACAGUAAUACUAUAUAAUAAAAACACAAAUUUAACAUAUGUCAACUUUUUUCAAACCGCAAUUUUUUUUCUAAAACGUCUCGAAAAGUAGUUUUUAGAGAGAUGAUAUGUUUUAAAAUAAUGAAACUCAUUUACAAAAAUACUAUUUAUAAUAAAACCGUUUGAUGUUAAAAUAACCGAAUUUCACUAUUUUAGACUACCACUACUUUUAAAAUAUAUUUUUUGGAAUUUUACAAAUAUUGUUUUUACACCUUUCUUAAUAUAUUUUUACUGUUUAGACACUAUUUUUUUUUUCUCUUUCAUUUUUUUCAUCCUCUUUUUUAAUCCUUCCUUCCAAUUAUAAAAAUACAAUUAUAUGGUCAUUUUUUUUUUCUAGUGACAUGCUUAAUGUAGUUUUAAGAAAACAAGGAGUGAUUAACUCAAAACAUAUCAUGUGGCAAUCCCAAGAAUAGGGAUGGCAAAAAAAUCCGCGGGCACGGGUAUCCACGGGUAAAAUCCGCCGCGGGUAGUUUCUACCCGCGGAUAUUUACUACCCGCGGGUAACGCGUAGCGAAUAUUUUAAUACCCGCUUCUAAACGGGUCAGGUACGGGUAGUAUACUACCCGACCCGCGGAUACCCGUUACCCGUAAAAAAUAAUAAAAAAAAUUAAUUUAUACAUUUUUUUGAUUAAAUUUAAUUAAAAAUAAAAUAAAAUUAUAUUUAAUUAAAUUAAAUUUAAAUAAAAUUAAAUUUUAAAUUAUAUUUAAUUUAAUUUAUAUUAUAUUAUAUAUAUAUUUUUUGUAAUUUUAUUUAAAUUUUAUUUUAAAAUGUAAAAAAUAUUUUUUUUUUAUUUUUUGCAGGUAUCCGCGGGUACCCACAGGUUUUAAAAUACCCGCAGUUAUUUUUUAAACGGGUACUCGACGGGUAACAGGUCGGAUGACGGGUACAUUUUUAUCGACGAGUUAGGUUGCGAGUAGGCACUAUCCGUGCCAGACUCGACCCGUUGUCAUUCCUACCCAAGAACCUAUAGUAAGGGGAGAAGAAUGAUUUAAUUGUUAAUUACUAAAAUUCAACUAUAAUCUUAAGUCUCACGAGACCUACUUGCUGCUUGGAAAAUUGACAAUGAUUUACUGUGAUACGUAAGUGAUUUAAGUCACUGUCUAUAAAGACAGUGCAGCUUAGAUAUAGCAUUAUAAUUGUUGUCAAUGUUAUUUUCAAUAAAUUUUCAAUCCAAUAUUCUGUGACUGCGAACGGAAGAAUUCAUAUUAUUUUUUAUGUCAGUAUUAUACAUAUAUAUCUGAUUAUGAAGAACAGUGUCUAUCUAACUUUUUUUCAUUCUAAACAAAAGUACAGAUAAAACUUAAAACAUUAGAUCAGAUUUAGGGAGAGAAAAAAAAAAAUAGUUUGUAUGAUGUGAUACAGAAAGAAAAUAUAGAGAAAUUAUGGUAUUGAUCAGAAACAAAAUAAUGUUUAUGUUGGAUAUGACUUGCAAAACGAAAGAAAAAAAAUCUCCAACAAGUUGCAGACAUCAUCAUAGUUUCUCUACAGUCUUGCCUAGUAUAGUGUGUCAUUUACUUGCUCAACUACACUCCAUAAUGGCAUUGAAUUCAUUCAACUACUCCACAAGAACAGCCACAUGACUGUUAAAGCUUAGCCCCAUGCCCUUCUGCCUCUAUAUAACCACAACCACCAUAUAGCAUUCCAAAGCACCUCACCACAGAAAAAAGGUCCCAAACACAUAGUUACUACACUACCUUCCAUAUCUGGUUCUUGAAGGAGUUGAGUGCUUCAUCAUGGCUACCAUGACAGCUAGGGUUUCUUUGUUGGCCAUUGUGUGCAUGGUUCUUAGUGCAACAACCAUUCCCAAGGCAGAAGCAGUGGUGACAUGUGGGCAAGUUGUGAACAACCUGACCCCGUGCAUUUCCUAUGUGAUGUAUGGUGGAUACCCUGUUCCUGAGCAGUGCUGCAAUGGGAUCAAGAACCUCUAUGGCCUGGCUCAGACCAAACCUGAUCGCCAAGCAGUUUGCAACUGCAUCAGGAAUGCUGUUACUAACAGUGGCUUCAACUACUCUCCUCGCAAUCUCAACCUUGCAGCUAGUCUUCCCAAGCAAUGUGGUGUAAACAUUCCUUAUCAGAUCAGCCCUAGUA
This 9655-nucleotide long non-coding RNA is filed under the name Vigna radiata. Its description in RNAcentral is "long non-coding RNA (VRAD_LNC018490)". Lineage: Eukaryota; Viridiplantae; Streptophyta; Magnoliopsida; Fabales; Fabaceae. The record is from RNAcentral.